GCUUACGGCCACACCUCCCGAGCACUGCCCGAUCUCGUCUGAUCUCGAAGCUAAGCAUGGUCGGGCCCGGUUAGUACUUGGAUGGGAGACCGCCUGGGGAAUACCAGGUGCUGUAAGCC
This 119-nucleotide ribosomal RNA is filed under the name Esox lucius (northern pike). Lineage: Eukaryota; Metazoa; Chordata; Actinopteri; Esociformes; Esocidae. The record is from RNAcentral.